RNAcentral lists this ribosomal RNA (466 nucleotides) under uncultured bacterium. RNAcentral describes it as "partial 16S ribosomal RNA". It matches the Rfam family "Bacterial small subunit ribosomal RNA", at positions 28 to 507 of the family's 1533-position model. The record is from RNAcentral.
GAUGAACGCUGGCGGCGUGCUUAACACAUGCAAGUCGAACGAUGAAGCCCAGCUUGCUGGGUGGAUUAGUGGCGAACGGGUGAGUAACACGUGAGUAACCUGCCCUUAACUCUGGGAUAAGCCUGGGAAACUGGGUCUAAUACCGGAUAGGAGCGUCCACCGCAUGGUGGGUGUUGGAAAGAUUUAUCGGUUUUGGAUGGACUCGCGGCCUAUCAGCUUGUUGGUGAGGUAAUGGCUCACCAAGGCGACGACGGGUAGCCGGCCUGAGAGGGUGACCGGCCCAAACGGGAACGAGACAAGGGCCCGAAUCCUAAGGGAGGGAGGCGUGGGGGAUAAUGGAACAUGGGGGCAAGCCCGAAGCAGGGAAGGCGGGUGGGGGAAGAAGGCCUUUGGGUUGUAAACCUCUUUCAGUAGGGAAGAAGCGAAAGUGACGGUACCUGCAGAAGAAGCACCGGCUAACUACGCG